Molecule: ribosomal RNA, 301 nt
Filed under: uncultured bacterium
Lineage: Bacteria
Description: partial 16S ribosomal RNA
Rfam family: Bacterial small subunit ribosomal RNA
Source: RNAcentral
CAGCCGCCGCGGGAAUACGAAGGGGGCUAGCGUUGCUCGGAAUGACUGGGCGUAAAGGGCGCGUAGGCGGCGAUCAAAGUCAGGCGUGAAAUUCCUGGGCUCAACCUGGGGGCUGCGUUUGAUACUUGGUUGCUAGAGUGAGGAAGAGGGUCGUGGAAUUCCCAGUGUAGAGGUGAAAUUCGUAGAUAUUCGGAAGAACACCUGUGGCGAAGGCGGCUCACUGGCUCAUUCUAGACGCUGAGGUGCGAAAGCGUGGGGAGCAAACAGGAUUAGAUACCCGCGUAGUCCCUGUCUCUUAUAC